RNAcentral lists this ribosomal RNA (557 nucleotides) under Opsarius ngawa. RNAcentral describes it as "partial 16S ribosomal RNA". It matches the Rfam family "Bacterial large subunit ribosomal RNA", at positions 1851 to 2608 of the family's 2925-position model. Lineage: Eukaryota; Metazoa; Chordata; Actinopteri; Cypriniformes; Danionidae. The record is from RNAcentral.
GGUCCAGCCUGCCCAGUGACUAUUAGUUAAACGGCCGCGGUAUUCUGACCGUGCAAAGGUAGCGUAAUCACUCGUCCUUUAAAUGGGGUCAAGUAUGAAAGGCUAAACGAGGGCUUAACUGUCUCCCCCUCCCGGUCAGUGAAAUUGAUCUGUCCGUGCAGAGGCGGACAUAAAGAUACAAGACGAGAAGACCCUUUGGAACUUUAGGUACAGAACUUAGCCAUGUUGAACAAGUCAAUAAAAACGCUAUCCCCGAUGGUAUUAAGACUCUACCUUCGGUUGGGGCGACCAUGGAGCAAAAAGAAACCUCCAAGUGGAAUGAGGAGACCCUUAGAACUGAGAGAGCCAUCUCUAAGUCACAGAAAUUCUGACCAGAAAUGAUCCGGCCAUUUGGCCGAUAAACGAACCAAGCUACCCUAGGGAUAACAGCGCAAUCCCCUCCCAGAGCCCAUAUCGACGAGGGGGUUUACGACCUCGAUGUUGGAUCAGGACAUCCUAAUGGUGCAGCCGCUAUUAAGGGUUCGUUUGUUCAACGAUAAAAGUCCUACGUGAUCUGA